Molecule: ribosomal RNA, 245 nt
Filed under: uncultured bacterium
Lineage: Bacteria
Description: partial 16S ribosomal RNA
Rfam family: Bacterial small subunit ribosomal RNA
Source: RNAcentral
UACAGAGGUGGCUAGCGUUGUUCGGAUUUAUUGGGCGUAAAGGGUCCGUAGGCGGUCCAAAAAGUCGGAUGUGAAAUCCCACAGCUUAACUGUGGAACUGCAUUCGAAACUCUUGGACUAGAGUGUGAGAGGGGUGAAGGGAAUUCCCGGUGUAAGGGUGAAAUCUGCAGAGAUCGGGAGGAACACCAGUCGCGAAGGCGCUUCACUGGCUCAUUACUGACGCUCAGGGACGAAAGCUAGGGGAG